AUCUCGAUCACCACCGUUGCAACCUAUGCUCUGGUGCAACCUAGCUCUGAUACCAAUUGUUGUGCAGGAUCCGGUAACACACGAUAUAGCAGAAAAAAAGAAGAAAUAAAAUAAAAAAUAUAAUACAAAUAUAUGGAUCAGCCUUAAGCCUACCACCAUGGGGCAUGCAAGCUUCAUUAUGAGAGAAUAAAAUACAAUCUAUAUAAGAUGAACUCACCACUCAACCCU
RNAcentral lists this long non-coding RNA (228 nucleotides) under Elaeis guineensis (African oil palm). Its description in RNAcentral is "long non-coding RNA (EGUI_LNC053655)". The record is from RNAcentral. Lineage: Eukaryota; Viridiplantae; Streptophyta; Magnoliopsida; Arecales; Arecaceae.